RNAcentral lists this ribosomal RNA (460 nucleotides) under uncultured bacterium. RNAcentral's name for it is "partial 16S ribosomal RNA". It matches the Rfam family "Bacterial small subunit ribosomal RNA", at positions 338 to 795 of the family's 1533-position model. The record is from RNAcentral.
CCUACGGGAGGCAGCUGUGAGGAAUAUUGGUCAAUGGACGAGAGUCUGAACCAGCCAAGUAGCGUGAGGGAUGAAUGCCCUGUGGGUUGUAAACUUCUUUUAUAUGGGAAUAAAAUGUGCCACGUGUGGGCUUUUGUAUGUACCAUAUGAAUAAGGAUCGGCUAACUCCGUGCCAGCAGCCGCGGUAAUACGGAGGAUCCGAGCGUUAUCCGGAUUUAUUGGGUUUAAAGGGUGCGUAGGUGGAUUGUUAAGUCAGUUGUGAAAGUCUGCGGCUCAACCGUAAAAUUGCAGUUGAAACUGGCAGUCUUGAGUACAGUAGAGGUGGGCGGAAUGCGUGGUGUAGCGGUGAAAUGCUUAGAUAUCACGAAGAACUCCGAUUGCGAAGGCAGCUCACUGGACUGCAACUGACACUGAGGCUCGAAAGUGUGGGUAUCAAACAGGAUUAGAUACCCCGGUAGUC